GUAGGGGUCUAGCGUUGUCCGGAAUCAUUGGGCGUAAAGAGCUCGUAGGCGGUUCGGCAAGUCGGAUGUGAAAUCUCCACGCUCAACGUGGAGGGGCCAUUCGAAACUGCCGUGACUCGAGUCCGGUAGGGGAGUGCGGAAUUCCCGGUGUAGCGGUGAAAUGCGCAGAUAUCGGGAGGAACACCAGUGGCGAAGGCGGCACUCUGGGCCGGAACUGACGCUGAGGAGCGAAAGCGUGGGGAGCGGACAGGAUUAGAUACCCUGGUAGUCCACGCCGUAAACGUUGGGCACUAGGUGUGGGACUCUAUCGACGGGUUCCGUGCCGUAGCUAACGCAUUAAGUGCCCCGCCUGGGGAGUACGGCCGCAAGGCUA
RNAcentral lists this ribosomal RNA (373 nucleotides) under uncultured bacterium. RNAcentral's name for it is "bacterial SSU rRNA". It matches the Rfam family "Bacterial small subunit ribosomal RNA", at positions 527 to 896 of the family's 1533-position model. The record is from RNAcentral.